CGAAGGGGGCUAGCGUUGUUCGGAGUUACUGGGCGUAAAGGGCGCGUAGGCGGCGCACCAAGUCAGGCGUGAAAGCCCUGGGCUCAACCCGGGAAUUGCGCUUGAGACUGGUGUGCUUGAGUACGGGAGAGGAUAGUGGAAUUCCCAGUGUAGAGGUGAAAUUCGUAGAUAUUGGGAAGAACACCGGUGGCGAAGGCGGCUAUCUGGACCGUAACUGACGCUGAGGCGCGAAAGCGUGGGGAGCAAACAGGAUUAGAUACCCUGGUAGUCCACGCCGUAAACGAUGAGUGCUAGACGUUGGGGCUCUUAGAGCUUCGGUGUCGCCGCUAACGCAUUAAGCACUCCGCCUGGGGAGUACGGCCGCAAGGUUA
Molecule: ribosomal RNA, 371 nt
Filed under: uncultured organism
Description: bacterial SSU rRNA
Rfam family: Bacterial small subunit ribosomal RNA
Source: RNAcentral